AGUAAACUCUUUUCAUCUUGUAUUAGUUGAUGAACUAAAAAGUGAUGGCCUAAAGGAGCUGGGAAAUGCUGCAUUCUGGUCGUUAUCAUCUUUUAAACAGGGGUUCGGAGUGGAACAGCUUCGAGAUAAUAAUCUCCAUACUUAUUGGCAAUCUGAUGGGCCUCAACCGCAUUCAAUUAAUAUUCAAUUCGUGAGAGAAUUUUUAGUAACAGAAAUUUGUUUAUACGUUGAUUAUAUUCAAGAUGAAAGCUACACUCCAAACGUGCUUUUAGUUAGUUCUGGCGCUUCUUUUCACGAAUUAACUGAGCAAAUCGUCUUUGAAGUCGUCGAGCCGAAAGGUUGGAUAGUAGCGAAGUUUAGCGAAAAUUCUGAAAAAACCACCAGAACGGGAAAGACACGCACGUUCGCCAAGUAAAAGUCUUCGGAUCGCUCGACUUUAGCAUCCGCACAGUCCCUUAUCAUACUACAACAUCUUUUGCGCAAUACGCAUAUCUUCGCUAGCUUUAUCC
Molecule: long non-coding RNA, 509 nt
Organism: Zophobas morio
Lineage: Eukaryota; Metazoa; Arthropoda; Insecta; Coleoptera; Tenebrionidae
Exons: 7
Source: RefSeq, a predicted model, not a curated record